RNAcentral lists this ribosomal RNA (253 nucleotides) under uncultured bacterium. RNAcentral describes it as "partial 16S ribosomal RNA". It matches the Rfam family "Bacterial small subunit ribosomal RNA", at positions 524 to 776 of the family's 1533-position model. The record is from RNAcentral.
GACGAACCGUCCUAACGUUAUUCGGAAUUACUGGGCUUAAAGGGUGCGUAGGCGGCGCGGAAAGUUGGGUGUGAAAUCCCUCGGCUUAACCGAGGAACUGCGCCCAAAACUACCGUGCUUGAGGGAGAUAGAGGUGAGCGGAACUUAGGGUGGAGCGGUGAAAUGCGUUGAUAUCAGGAGGAACACCGGUGGCGAAGGCGGGACUCUGGGCCGAUACUGACGCUGAGGAGCGAAAGCGUGGGGAGCGAACAGG